CCCUUAGAUGUUCUGGGCUGCACGCGCGCUACACUGAUGCGCUCAACGAGUUUACGAACUUGCCCGGAAGGGUUGGUUAAUCUUUUUAAAACGCAUCGUGAUGGGGAUAGAUUAUUGCAAUUAUUAAUCUUCAACGAGGAAUUCCUAGUAAUCGUAGGUCAUCAGCCUGCGAUGAUUACGUCCCUGCCCUUUGUACACACCGCCCGUCGCUCCUACCGAUUUCGAGUGGUUCGGUGAACCUUUCGGACCGGCAAUGCCUCGUGUUGCGCCGGAAAGUCAAGUAAACCAUAUCACUUAGAGGAAGGAGAAGUCGUAACA
Molecule: ribosomal RNA, 318 nt
Filed under: uncultured eukaryote
Lineage: Eukaryota
Description: partial 18S ribosomal RNA
Rfam family: Eukaryotic small subunit ribosomal RNA
Source: RNAcentral